This 298-nucleotide ribosomal RNA is filed under the name Staphylococcus aureus. Its description in RNAcentral is "partial 16S ribosomal RNA". It matches the Rfam family "Bacterial small subunit ribosomal RNA", at positions 1 to 287 of the family's 1533-position model. Lineage: Bacteria; Bacillati; Bacillota; Bacilli; Caryophanales; Staphylococcaceae. The record is from RNAcentral.
UUUUAUGGAGAGUUUGAUCCUGGCUCAGGAUGAACGCUGGCGGCGUGCCUAAUACAUGCAAGUCGAGCGAACGGACGAGAAGCUUGCUUCUCUGAUGUUAGCGGCGGACGGGUGAGUAACACGUGGAUAACCUACCUAUAAGACUGGGAUAACUUCGGGAAACCGGAGCUAAUACCGGAUAAUAUUUUGAACCGCAUGGUUCAAAAGUAAAAGACGGUCUUGCUGUCACUUAUAGAUGGAUCCGCGCUGCAUUAGCUAGUUGGUAAGGUAACGGCUUACCAAGGCAACGAUGCAUAGC